Molecule: unclassified non-coding RNA, 231 nt
Filed under: uncultured Inocybe
Lineage: Eukaryota; Fungi; Basidiomycota; Agaricomycetes; Agaricales; Cortinariaceae
Description: sequence contains ITS1
Source: RNAcentral
UCGAAUAAACUUGAACAGGCUGUUGCUGGUCCCUUGGGACAUGUGCACGCUUGUCAUCUUUAUCAUUUCUCCAACUGUGCACAUACUUUGUAGACCUUGGAGGGGGAAAUGGAAUUCGUUCCGAGUGGGGACUGCUGUGCCUUCAAAAAAGAGGUCGGCUUUCCCCUUGAAAGGUCUAUGUCUCACAAACAAUAUGUCUAGAAUGUUGAAAUACAUAAAAGUUAUAAAAAA